AAAUCCAGUGGUGGAUUUGGCUGUGUUAGAUUUAUGGUUGGACUCGAUUUUAAAGGUCUUUUCCAACCUAAAUAAUUCUGUGGUUCCUAUCACUUGUGUGGAGACGCACAGGGCUAGGGUCCUAACUAGAAGAGGAUAAGUAGGAUACAGUAUUGUCUUGUGAGAACUAUGGUGUUGCACAGAUUAGUAGCUUCCAAUAUUUUAGAAGCUGCUCACUGAACUCGGGUAAUACAGGGGAGAAUCUGAAACUCUUGACACCAUAGAAGGUUUUUUUCUUUUAUCUGUGCAUUAAGUUUGUUUUGGUCUAUGAUUCAGUUUUGCUGUAGUACCCAUUUGUACUUGCUUAGAGAUUCAUUGCAGUAAUAUGCAACGAUGAGUAAGGCUGGGUGGUUUGUUUUGGGUAGAUAGUAUACAGCCAGCGAAUGGGUAGAAUGUAUACAGUAUACAUUGCUAAUCUUAAAGAUCAGUAAAAUGAGUUUUUGACUGUUUAGCAUUACCUGGAUUUCGGCCAUUCACUUACAGGCUUGAUGAAGAUAAUUGCAGAAGAGCAAAAACCACUGAUUCUUGUGGAGCUUCUGAAGCAAGUAUUGCAGUGGCUGAGGCGCAGCAAAAUUGGUGGAGUCUAGCAGCUGAAGACAUUUUUAUGUAUCUUUACAAGUAAUCUUGUUUCUCCAGGAAAAGGAAAUAUGAACUCCAUUGCCAGUCCCAAAGGACUGGAAAAACUCCUACAGUUUUAGAGGGAGACAGUUUUAUUUGUCAUGACCCCAACUUCUUGACUGUAAUUUCUCAAGGAGAACAGUUCCAUCCUGCAGAAUCUUCUGCUUUGUUACCGCACUUACUUGAAUCACUACAUCAUGGAAAUGUACAGUAGAACCAGUGGAAUUUUUAAAGGAAACCUUAGAGGUAUGUAGUUUGUGAAGAUGUUAUCAGGAGGGACAGAAGUGCCUAGGAAUGGAGACGUGUAACAGUGAGUGUGAAGGUGGCAAAAUACCUAAACCAUCGGUAUCUCUUAUAGCUACUCAAAUUAUAUAAGAGGCUAGAUAAGGAAAGAGGUUGGUUGUUUAAUGAACAUGUUAAAAAGACAAAAAAGAGGAUUGUUGUGUCCUUCACAUGUCAACGUUGCCCCUACUAAAGCUUCCAACUCUCUGCAGCCUAGUCAGCAGAGUGCAACAUGUGCUUUCUAGUUAGUGUUCAGUUGUGGAACACUCACACCAUUUAAGAGGUCAGUGUUUUUUUUACCUAGAGGCAGAGGAAAGUCACUACAGUUGGUCUGUUUUUCAGAAGUCUGUACGCAUAGACCGGCUGCUGAAAAAACUGACUGGUGGUCUGUGGUCUCACUUUUGUAGCUGACAGCUUUUAUUGUUUUUGAAGAAUGCGUUUUCCGAAAGAGAUGUGUCCGUAAGAGGAUGGCGUGCUAGGGUAAAUGGUAAUCCCAACAUAAGCACCCAGAUAAUUGGAUUUGAUUCAGUAUUCAACAAGGCAGUAGUGUGAGCAGAACACAGGGUUGCUGUGCUUGCAGAAGCCUGCACAGAGUCUGGAUAACGUCAUAAACACCUGGAACUGAGAUGAAGGCACAAACUCCCUAUCUUUUAGGUAGAGUUAUGUUGUAUGUGUUUAAGCAUUAAAUAUGCUGCAGUACACUUAUGAGUAGAGGGAAUAUUAAAAGUGCAGCAGAGAGACUGUGACUUAAGGCAUCUAACUACAAAAAGAGCUUUGAAAAAUUCUUCCUUACAGUUCUAACUAAAUAAAAAAAAAAAAUCUGCAUCUUACUGUUGUUUAUCUGUAAGUAUGCCACUUCUUACAUGUAUUCUCAAAGUGUUGUUGCACUCUUGAGGAAUCAUUAAAUAGGCAAAUUCUUUGUCCAGAGUAGACUCUGAAAGUUUCAGUUUAGUUUCUUGCUAAAGGGGAUUCUUAAUAAGAAAGUAUAAUGUCGUUGGGCUGUACUUAAUAGAUGCUAGAUUCCACCAAACCUCCACUGAAGUCCUUCACUCCAUAAUUUCUUACUAGUUUCCAAAUAAAUAAGGAUCCUGGUGUGUUCUUUUUUUACGUAUUUAAUUCGGCUUUGUUAUUUUUUAUUUUGUGCCUUUACAGCAAGGAAAGCUAAUGAUAUUCUAGGUACUGAACAGAAGGGUGCAUUGCUGGCUCAUGGUCAGUUCAGUGUCCAUUAGGAACCUCAGCUUUCCAACUGGCUGGCCCCACGCUGUACAGGUGUUUGGGAUUAUUCCUACCCAGGUGCAGGACUUUCCAUUUUCCUCUGUUGAGCUUCACGAGGUUCCUAGAUUGUUUUCAUUAAAAACAGAGUGAUGUAGUGAAUCCAAUAACUGCCAUUCACAUCAUUAAAGAUGGUCAGAAAAUGCUGGAAAUGUUUGCCUUAUCAGGCUUCCAGGACGGCAGAAGUGACUGGAACACUGUUGUUACAGAGUAUAAAUAGGAAGAGGGUAGCUAACAUUAGGACAAAGCUUAGUUGCUUUGGAACUUAGAGCUUCUGAUGGUAAAUGUCUUCCCUAGCACUUCCUGAACUGUAGAAUUGCUUCCGAAUAUGAUAGCAGUUUUGGGUGGUUGCAGCUUCCUGCUCCAAAUUCUAGCUGUACUCUUUGCUGUUCCUGCAGUUUGUAGGUGAAUCCCAAAUACUACCUUAAAAGUGUCUGUAAACAUUUAUUCUUACUAAGCUCUUAUAGGGUGUGGGUUUUGGUUUUUUUUUGUUUUUUGGGUUUUUUUGAGGCUAUGUUUCCUUGUUUGCACUUGAAUGGAGUCUGUUGUAUUAAUUAUGGAUUUUCACUGCAGCAUUUUUAAGAAUGUUAACAGUAACAUUGAAUAUUUCAAAUGGCUUCAUACAUGGCUAACUGUGCAGUGCAUGCACCUCUGCCUUUGAUUCAAAAUGUAAAUGUAGUAGAUCAUGUUGCACAAAGAGCCCUUGUAAGAACUUCAUUUCAGGAAGGCCAGUAAUAUUCAGAGUUGAGGUUUUGGUAAUUUUUAGUUUGUUUCUAAAGCAAGUAUGAAAAUAAGGUCUUUUUAUAUAGCUCUCAAGGUUCAGUUGAGGAACAUGAACUGUACCUAUAAAGAUGUAUAUAGUCUUCAAAAAUAACCCACAGUUGUUGUACAUGUAGGCAUCGAGAGAGAGAGAUGGAAAUCAAUUUCUUCUAGUCUGGAUAAAACUUGAACUUAAAUGUGUUAUUAAGUUCCUAAAUAAUCACUCAAAUUUCAGACGGGACCAAAAAUUCCUCUGGAGUCCUUUGCAAGCUAUAAAGUAGGGCACUUUUAUUUAAAGAUGAUCUUUUAAAUGCUAGUUCUUAUUUUUUUUAUAUUUAUUGUUUGUAUACUGUAUACCAAAUACAUUCCUUGGGGUUCUAGGGUAAUAUGUAUUCAUUUGAAGGAAGGCUGCACUUGAAAGAAAGACUUUUCUGAAUCACAUUUUAAUUUUUAUGUUUCAUCAAGGUAGGCUACAUCCGUAUUCACUUACUGAGUCCCUGCAUGAUGUUUCUCAAACCUGUUCCUCUGAUUGGCCAGGAACAGUCACAUAGAUCAUCAGGAGUAUGUGAACCUGAAACAUCAGAUGGAGAGAAAAAUCAAAGAACUGGAAGGAGAUCUUGCUUGUUAGAAACAGACAUGAAGAACUAGCUCAUGCUGCCAAGGAAAAGGAUGCAAUGCCAGCUUCAACGAAAGAAGCCCAAGUCAAACAAUUUAAAGAAUUGAAGCAGCAGAUAAGAGAACUGCAGGUAUAAACAAAUGUCUCUGGCAGCUGAGCAAGAAUGGAUACUGGAGCAGAAUAAAAUGCAGGAAGAACUGGAUUGGCAGCACCUCUGUGAGAAUGCAGAAAGUAAUUGGUAUCAGAAAUCAGAGGAUCUAACACAAAGCCUGUCUUCAGCAAGAGAGCAGAUAGUUCAGUAUGAUGAUAAAAAUUCUCUAAGCAAAAGUAUUCCUACGUUGGAAAUAAAAAAGCUUCAGGAGCAGAAUGCCAACCUUCGGGCUGCUGUUGCACAAAUGAGGAAAGAAAUGGAGAGUCUUGAUAAGCAGAUGUCCUCUCUUCCUUUGACAGAAAAUGGACAGGUUGCGGAGCAAGGUUUAUUGUGCACAAACAAAAUUUCAACUGGAACCACUUUGAGCAAUGCCAAAGUCAGCUCAGCUAACUUGGAUUGUAUGGUAAACAGAGGCACAGAAAAGGGGCCAAAAGGCAAAGUUCUUGAAGAAAAGAUGGUAGAUCUUGGACAACAGUUUCCUGACAUAGGUCCUGAUGUCGGUCUUCCGUAUGGUGUCAGCAGCACUCUACAAGGAAUGCAAAAUAAACUGAAGGAAGCAGCCAGACAAAUUUCAAUUCUGAGUGAGGAGAAGCAGCAGCUGAUUGAAAUGGGAAAUGGACUCAGGGCAGAGCUCAGAAUGGUGUUAAAGGAAGGACUUUUGCAUCCUGUUAGCUCUAAGCGCUGCACAGUUUGUGUUGUCUCUGGUAGUCUUUUUCCAAGAGAGCUUGUCAGAAGAAUACAGUGUCAACUAUCAGCUUUAAAGCAUCUACAGCACAGGCUUAUGAUACAGGAGCUGCAGUAUGCAAAGCAGCAGCAUCCCUCAAGGAUAUCUUCUCUAAUUGUCUGCCCUGGCUUAAAGGAUGAAGAAGCUCCAAGCAGAUCUGGGGAAAAGAUGGAAUUACCAUCCACUGAGGCAGGAAAACACACCCAAAGGUCUUCAUGGGCUCAAGCAUCCUCUUUCAUAUCUUCUACGUCUGUAGGUAGCCACUAGGUGGCAAGCUGAACAACAUGAUUCCACAUCAAUAGCACGAGUCCACUAAACUUUUGCUACCUGCAAUAACAAAUGCCACCAAGCUGACUCACUGCAGAGACUGCACACACCAGUGGAAUUUGAAGUUACAUGUUCUGAAGAAUCUCCGCAAAAUAUAAAAGCCAAGGAUAAACUUGAAAUGCCAGCUGCAGAUUUGACAGUCAGAGGAACCAGGCUGGAAGUUCAGCAGAAGUUAAAAUCCAGGAAUUUGUCUUAUGAUUAUCCCAUAAAACCAAAAAUCUCUUCUAAGGUGGCAAAAAUCCGCAACUAUAAUAUUAAAGACUGAUUUAUUUGUUGUCAGCAAGUUCUGGAUCCACACUUGCUAUUAACUUACUUUGAAAUCUGUAAAUCAAAUCUAAAUAUCAGCUUCAAUUCUGUAUGUUGAGUUGGGAUGUUUGCAGCCAGAAGAUAGAACAAAUACCAUGUUUCAUACUGUGAACCCUAACGCAAAGGGUUAAUCUGUGUAUAUUACUGGUUAAUACAGAUUUACUUUAAUUAUAUGUGUUAAAUAAUGCUUGCAUCAUGGAUUUAGGAAUGCCCAGUUAAUACAUAUGUAAAGCCUUGUGCCUCUAAGCAGGGCUUGCAGGUCUUUAGCAAAUAUUUUGUUGAGAAACUGUAGAUGUGAUUUAAGCUUAGAAGUGGGAUGCCUUAACCUACUAGUUUUCUUAUAAUUAACAAUGCAACCGUUAAUCCUGUGCAGCUAUCUCUCUACUUGAAAGAAGAGGGGUUGAAAAGAUGGCACCUGAAUCUGUAUUUUCUCUCAUCUUCUGCAGCUCUUUCCACUUACUUAGACAGCAUGAAAGAGUAUAAAAUUAAACUUCUAUUGUUAUACCAGUAAUUAUAUUUUCAUUUAACAAGAGAUUGUCUAGCGUUUAAAGCAGUGAAAAACAUGUUCAUUAGCAACACUUAGAAUCAUACAGAAGCAUUGUAAGAAGUAAGUCUUACAACAGAAGAAAACUUGGAUGAGUUCUGAGGUAAUGAAGGUUAUCUAUAUAGUUGUAAACAUGCCAGGAUAUUGAAACAAGUAAUUGGUGUAUUUUUGUAACAUUUCCAGUAAUGCUGAGCUGUCUUGGGAUAUUAUACUGAUGAACUUUACUAAAAGUAAAGGAAAUACAUAUUAAAAAUGCAAGAAAAACCUUAUUUACUGUGAAGAUGGUCAAGCACUGGAGCAGAUUGCCCAGAGAGGUUGUGGAGUCUCCAUCUCUUGGUCCAUCUGUGGACCAACUAGACACAGUCCUGGGCAGCCUAUUCAAGCUGACCCUCCUUUUGCUGAGGGAUUGGACUAGACGAUCUCAAGAGGUCCAACCUAAGUGAUUCUGUGAUUCUGUGAGUGGUAUCACCGAAGUGAAUAAUACUUCUCAGUUGCUGCUAGAAACAUAUAAAAUCUAAACAAGAUUAAUGAAGAGAGCUACUUACCCAUAAGGGUUUUUUUUUCCCCUGUAGCACUUUUCUUUUUAGAAAUGCUUUUCUGGUUCUUUUUGCAAACAGCUGCUCUCUUUGGCAUCUGACAAAGUGGUAGUAAUCAUUUCGAGAAUUUGAAUAAUUAUUUUUCUGCUCCCUGCUGAAAAUGUUUUGGUUUAGUGCAAAGGUGUUAUAUUAUAAUCAGAUGCUAAAUCUACAAUGAAUUUCAUUGAGAAGUUACCAAGCCAAUAUGAGGCCUGAGAGACCUUGUGAGCUUCUUUCUAAAUCAUUUAAUUACUUGAAAAUCCUGUUGCUGGAUUCAACAUUUAACAUUGUUCACAAGCCGGAACAACAUGAUGCAUUCCCUUGAACCAGGCCCUGAAUGAGCUCUUUCUGUAGCUCAAAGCAUAGUGGUUUCUAACAAGUGCAGGAAUUUUGGCCCAGAUCACACCAGUUACAGCUCUCUCUGGUUAUUCUGGAACACAAUGUGUCAAUUCCAAAGUUUUGAAUAGCUGUAGGUAAUCCUGCUUUUUUUUCUUUUUUUUUUUUUUUAAUUUCCAGUUCCAUGUUCAAUAUUGAACUGUGGAGAUACACAAUAUUUCAGUGCUAACAGAUUCUGUGCUUUUACAGGUAUUAAAAGCCCUUAGAAAAAAAAGCAGUUCGUUCCAUAAUCUUUGCAACACCACAUCUGAUCCUGGAAAACAUUGCUCUUCAUUCCUUACAUCAUGGAUACAAGCUCACGGGCUGCAGACUUCAGAGUGCCUUUGUGCAGAUUUCUUUGCUGGUUUUUAAGGUAUUUUGUUUGCUGCUUUGAGGGGUUUUGGUUUUCUUCCUGUGGUUGGUUGGUGUGUCAUUGUCAUCGUCCCCCCCUCCCCAGCAUGUCACCUGAUAUGCCUGGUCAUGCAGACAUCUUGCCAGAAAUGCAACUUUAAUUUAUUAAGUUUCCCUGAGAAACAGGUUUCCUUAAGGGAAUUGUAGGUAAGGGAAGGUGAUAGCUCUUGAUUGUUUCAUUUUGGUUUACUUGUAAUAGAAAAAAGUAGUUCAAUCAUUGUACAUUUGUUUCAAAGUAACUGUAAUAAGUAUGAAAUCAUAUAAGUAUGAAAAUUAACAAAGCAUGCCUAAUAACAAUAAAUAACAUGAACUAUUG
Strigops habroptila (Kakapo) is the source of this 7315-nucleotide RNA transcript. It is a transcript of the gene named coiled-coil domain containing 57, with no coding region annotated. Lineage: Eukaryota; Metazoa; Chordata; Aves; Psittaciformes; Psittacidae. The record is from RefSeq and is a predicted model, not a curated record. The transcript is spliced from 11 exons.